Molecule: long non-coding RNA, 3178 nt
Organism: Zea mays
Lineage: Eukaryota; Viridiplantae; Streptophyta; Magnoliopsida; Poales; Poaceae
Exons: 2
Source: RefSeq, a predicted model, not a curated record
GUCAUAUAUAAUUGUGAUCUGGAUCUGUUUUUAGUACCUCUAGACUUCCUGAGAAGAAAUAUCUGAUAUAGGUGUUCGUCUGUCACUGAGACUGGUGUAGACUUCUUACCUAGACUGGUCCUGUCUGAGGGAUAGUUUUGUAUUAGUGAAACAAUUUUUAAAUAAAAGUACUCAUAAGCUUUCUUGACUCUUCGCUUUGAGAAACCAUAACUUUGCACCAAUGUCCCUGGUGAAGUAUCAGCAGUGUCCCGAGUUUAGCGUGAUGUCACGUUGAUUUGUACUUAGUGGUGAAGAGACUAAGACAAGGCAUGCUGUUUUGGCCUGAGUGUUUAGAUUCUGCAGAUUGAUGUUUUGUAUCAGCACUAGGCCAUUAGAUAGAUACAAGCGAAAGACCCUCAAUUAUGGACAUGAUGAAAAACUGUGUUAAUAAAAUCUUUUUACUUGUUUUACAUCCUGGAUGAAAGAAACACAAUGCCAUAAUAUUAAAUUGCUUGCCUUGACCACUAAAGUUGAUGGGGCUGCCUAUUUAUAUAGGCAGGAGCAGCCUAUUACAAGGGGGAUUCUACUCGGUUACAACUUUCCAAAUUCCCAACCGACUUCAAUUCUAAAUGAUCUGGACACAUGCAAUCCUGUUUUGUUUUAUCUUUAAUCUCUAAUCAAAGUCGGUUUCUAAUCUAGCCAAGACGAUUCUGGACAACCAAGUCCAUAGCGUAUUUAUAACAUAUUCUAACAUCCCCCUCAAUCAUGACUUGCACAAGUUAAAUUGUUUCUAAGUGAAGCCAACUUUUGCAUAGUCAGUGCCUUAGUAAAACCAUCUGCAUCUUGGUUCUUUUGUAGAUAUAGUUUUUACCUCCAAAAGUCCUUAAACUACUCUUUCUCCCAUAAAAUGAAAACCAAUCUCAACAUGUUUCAUACGGCCAUGAAACCUGGAUUUGUUGUAAGAUUGGUAGCUCCAAUGUUACACACUGGAUCCUUGUGACAGGAGGACAAGGACCCUUUUGGUUCCUAUAGAAUACUGGAUCCACAUCAACUCUGCUUUGGAAUUAGCUAUGGCUUUAUAUUUAGCUUCAGUGAUUGACCGGGAGGCCGAAGACUAUGGGCUGCUUGCGAGCACUCUAAGAUACUAGAUCUCUACCAAGAUAUACUACAAAGCCUCUUGUUGAGCGUCUAUCGGGCCUGUUUGGUUCAGCUUUUAUCUGACCAACUUUUCUAGAAAUCUGGCUGUGGGGAGAAUCUGGCUGUGGGGGGAAUCUGAGUAUCAUUACGAUUACGUGUGGAGGAAUAUAAAGUUGUUCAUAGGGCUCAGGAUCUAGAAAGUGACGGAUUCCUACUAUUACAACGACUCAACCGAUUAUGUGUUUAUGUUGAUUUUGUAUGAUUUUUGCCCCCAACGAAUUUUAUAUAAGCUGGCUGGAAAGCUGAGCGUUUGGCAGUCCGCAGUAGCUUUUGGUGGUCAGAAGCUGCUAGAAGCCGAAACAAACAGGGCCAUCAUCUAUGUCACUUGGCCAAUUUGCAUCAGAGAAGGCACUCACAAUAAUGGAGGGAUACUUCACAAUUUUAAGACCAUGUCCAAGAGUGAACCUUUUCUCGAAAAGCGCAGGAGAACUGCGCCCCGUUAUAUUAAGAAGGAAAAGGUCUGAAAAAAACAGACCAGGUACAAAGACUCCCUUACGGAGGUCUAAAACUCAGAAACCUAAGAAGAUCCAUCUAAACAACCUAAAAAAAACACUAUGAGCCAAUCCCCGGGAUUGAGGCAGUAAGGAGGGCCAAACUCUUGGCACCAGCCAGCUCCCACAUCUCUCUUUCUUCCUCCGCUAUUCUGAUGGCUGUUUCCAAGUUAGGAGAAAGACCAUCAAAUACACAUCAAUUUCUGUGGUUCCAAAUUGUCCAAAGCCCCAGGAUAAUUAAUGAGUUGAGAUCUUUUCUAGCAAUCUGUUGCAGCUGGUCACUGCAGCUUUUCCACCACUGCAUGACAUUUUCUUCUCCAACCUGAGGAGUAAAACUUUGGAGGUUGACCUGUCCAAGCAGCAUAAACCAGAAGUUCCUCGCAAAGACACACCCUACAAGUAGAUGAUCUAUAGUCUCAGGCUCUUGGUCACAAAGGGGGCAUCUCUCAGGAUGAUUGGGACCUCUUUUUUGUAGCCUGUCAGCUGUCCAGCACCUUUUCAAGGCAGCUAACAAAAGAAAAAAAUUGCAUUCAGGAGGCGCCCAGGAAUGCCAAAUUCGCUCCCAGUGAUCAAAAUGAGUGGAUCCAAUAAAUAGUCCAUUAUAGUCUGCUUUGGCAGAAUAUUUUCCAUCAGAUGCAAUACUGAAAAUGUGCUUAUCAUUACACCCUGGGUAAAUAUUGACUGAAAGCAAGUUUUCUGAUAGGUCAAGAAAAUCUGCAAGCACCCUGACAGUAAGCGCACCCUUAAUAUCAGCUAUCCAUUUGUUAUCUGCAAGAGCGUCCUGAACAGUUCUGCACUUUCUGUAUUGCUUGGGAACAGCCACAAGCAAUCUAGGAGCAAAGUAUUCUAUUCUUUUUCCAAAAAUCCAAUGGUCUUGCCAAAACAAGGUUGAAGCACCAUCUCCAAUUUCAGUAUAUGUUACAGCUGAAAAGAAGGAUCUAACCUUUUCAGAGAGGUGUAUAUGUAGGAAUGCCCAUGGCUUAGAAGGUUCAGUUUUGGCCAACCACAACCAUCGCAUUUUAAGGGCCCAACCCAAUUGUUUUAGGCUGAAAAUACCCAGCCCUCCCAACUCAAUUGGUCUACAAACCCUUCCCCACGCCACUAAACAGUGACCACCUCUAACCUCUCUUCUUCCUUUCCAUAGGAAUCCUUUCUGAUUUUAUCUAUAGCCUUGAGAGCUCCUGGAGGCAAAUCAACAGCCAUGGCGAGGUAAUUGAUCAGCAACUUCGUCAAUAAUGGGCUGCACUUGCCCUCUGGUUAGCUUCUUUAGUGACAGGGGCAAGCCGAGAUAAGUGCAAGGGAAGGAAGAAACCUGGCAAGGCAGCUGCUGCUGCAGGACUUCCAUCUCCCCAACGCCGCGACGGAUGGGAUAAACACAGCUUUUCUGCACAUUAGUUUGCAGCCCCGAAGCUUCCCCAAAAAGCUUCAAAAUGUUGAGAACAACUUGAAUGUUUUGAUCUUUUGGCUGUAAAAACAAUACCACAUCGUCUGCAGAGGGAUAGCCUAUGUUG